This 253-nucleotide ribosomal RNA is filed under the name uncultured bacterium. RNAcentral's name for it is "partial 16S ribosomal RNA". It matches the Rfam family "Bacterial small subunit ribosomal RNA", at positions 524 to 776 of the family's 1533-position model. The record is from RNAcentral.
UACGUAGGGGGCGAGCGUUAAUCGGAAUUACUGGGCGUAAAGCGUGCGCAGGCGGCGCGUUAAGACAGGUGUGAAAGCCCCGAGCUUAACUUGGGAAUUGCGCUUGUGACUGGCGUGCUGGAGUGUGGCAGAGGGAGGUGGAAUUCCACGUGUAGCAGUGAAAUGCGUAGAGAUGUGGAGGAACACCAAUGGCGAAGGCAGCCUCCUGGGCCAGCACUGACGCUCAUGCACGAAAGCGUGGGGAGCAAACAGG